GACAAACGCUGGCGGGGUGCGUGAGACAUGCAAGUCGAACGAGGAGCCUCCGAGCUUGCUUGGAGGUUUCCUAGUGGCGGACGGCUGAGUAACGCGUAGGUGACCUACCCGGAAGUGGGGAAUAACUGCCCGAAAGGGUGGCUAAUACCGCAUGUGGUCGGCGAUUCGAUUCGCCGUCCAAAGGAGAAAUCCGCUUCCGGCGGGGCCUGCGUCCGAUUAGCUAGUUGGUGGGGUAACGGCUCACCAAGGC
RNAcentral lists this ribosomal RNA (250 nucleotides) under uncultured bacterium. RNAcentral's name for it is "partial 16S ribosomal RNA". It matches the Rfam family "Bacterial small subunit ribosomal RNA", at positions 28 to 274 of the family's 1533-position model. The record is from RNAcentral.